Molecule: ribosomal RNA, 1013 nt
Filed under: Claviceps paspali (paspalum staggers ergot)
Lineage: Eukaryota; Fungi; Ascomycota; Sordariomycetes; Hypocreales; Clavicipitaceae
Description: partial large subunit ribosomal RNA
Source: RNAcentral
CUGCUGGUAAAGGUCAUUACGUAUUACUUUACUUACCCGAAGCUCUCACCUGCGUUCACUUUCAUUACGCGUAGGGGUUUGACACCCGAACACUCGCAUACGAAGACGACUCCUUGGUCCGUGUUUCAAGACGGGUCGCUGAUGACCAUUACCCACAUCCUUGCGUGAUGCGCGGUCCUCAGCCCGCCCCAGGGCAUUGCGCAGAGGGCUAUAACACUCCCGGAGGAGCCACAUUCCCAGAGCCUUUGUCCCCCGGGACGACUGAUGCUGGCCUGGGCCCGCCGGAGUGCACCAGCGAGAACGCUGGGUGAUCCCCGGGCCCAAGUCUGGUCACAAGCGCUUCCCUUUCAACAAUUUCACGUACUUUUAACCCUCUUUUCAAAGUGCUUUUCAUCUUCGAUCACUCUAUUUGUGCGCGAUCGGUCUCUGCCAAUAUUUAGCGUAGAAGACAUAUACCUCCCAUUAGAGCAGCAUCCCAAACUACUCGACUCGUCGAAGGAGCUUUAGAGAGGCUCGGCAACCAACAAGACGGGGCUCUCACCCUCUAUGGCGUCCCGUUCCAGGGAACUAGGAAGGCGCCUCGCCAGCAUCCUGCGUGAUGCGCGGUCCUAUCGGCCCGGGGGCCAGAUUUCAAAUUUGACUGUUGCCGCUUCACUCGCCGUUACUGGGGCAAUCCCUGUUGGUUCUUUUCCUCGCGGAGUGCACCAGCGAGAACGUGGGUAUCCGCGAGUCAAAUGUCUAAUGCAUCCCUCCCACAACACAGCACGGCUUCCUCUCUCUACAAUUGCUAUCUAUCUAUCAUCAUUCUGUAGCUAUCUUCUCUGUCAUAUUUAGUAUAGAAUAUACUCCUCCCAGUGGAGAUCAUACCCUAACUAGCUCUGGCUCGUCGGAGGUAGUAAGAAUACGUUAUCAUUCCAGGCAGAUAUCGUCACCCUUAAUCCGUCUUAUGGAAGUCCGGACCAUCGGGAACUGCUCGGCGUACCCCCCUAAAAUUUUAUUUUGGACCGGGGGUU